Molecule: long non-coding RNA, 653 nt
Filed under: Marmota monax (woodchuck)
Lineage: Eukaryota; Metazoa; Chordata; Mammalia; Rodentia; Sciuridae
Source: RNAcentral
UUGAGAUAUAAUGUUAAGUCAUUUCUUUGUUGACUUUUUCUUCUUUUAAGGGAUGAACUCCAUGCAAUGAACUUUCCUCUUAGUAAUGCCUUCAUAGUGUCCCAGAGACUUCGAUGUGCUGUGUCAGUAUCCUCAUUCACCUCUAAGAAUUUUUUAAUCUCCUCCUUGAUGUCUUUUCACAACCCAUUGUUCAUUCAGUAGUAUAUUAUUUAGUCUCCAGGUGUAGGAGUAGCUUUUAUUUUUUUAUUUUAUCAUUGAUUACUAUUUUAUUCUAUUAUGAUCUGAUAGAAUGCAGGGUAGUAUCUCUACUUUUUAUAUUUGCUAAGAGUUGCUUUGUGGCAUAACAUAUGGUCUAUAUACAGAGCAACAGUAACAAAAACAGCAUGGUAUUGGCACCAAAAUAGACUGGUAGACCAAUGGUACAGAAUAGAGGACACAGAGACUAACACAUAUAAUUACAGUUAUCUUAUAUUAGACAAAGACGUCAAAAAUAUACACUGGAGAAAAGAUAGCCUCUUCAACAAAUGGUGCUGGGAAAACUGGAAAUCCAUGUGUAACAAAAUGAAAUUAAACCUCUAUCUCUCACCAUGCACAAAACUCAAAGUGGAUCAAGGACCUAGGAAUUAAACCAGAGAUUCUGUGUCUAAUAGAAG